ACGCCCGGUUCCAUUCCGAACCCGGAAGCUAAGCCUCUCAGCGCCGAUGGUACUGCGCGGGUGACUGCGUGGGAGAGUAGGACGCCGCCGGAC
Molecule: ribosomal RNA, 93 nt
Filed under: Actinomycetota bacterium
Lineage: Bacteria; Bacillati; Actinomycetota
Source: RNAcentral